This 305-nucleotide ribosomal RNA is filed under the name uncultured bacterium. RNAcentral's name for it is "bacterial SSU rRNA". It matches the Rfam family "Bacterial small subunit ribosomal RNA", at positions 338 to 660 of the family's 1533-position model. The record is from RNAcentral.
CCUACGGGAGGCAGCAGUGGGGAAUAUUGCACAAUGGGGGAAACCCUGAUGCAGCGACGCCGCGUGAGUGAGGAAGUAUUUCGGUAUGUAAAGCUCUAUCAGCAGGGAAGAAAAUGACGGUACCUGACCAAGAAGCCCCGGCUAACUACGUGCCAGCAGCCGCGGUAAUACGUAGGGGGCAAGCGUUAUCCGGAUUUACUGGGUGUAAAGGGAGCGUAGGCGGCUGUGUAAGCCAGAAGUGAAAGCCCGAGGCUCAACCACGGGACUGCUUUUGGAACUACAUGGCUUGAUUGCAGGAGAGGCAA